CAUUAAGAAGCUAUGUACCCCAGCAUUAGCCUUUUAAGCUAAAGACAGAGGGACCCUCCCCUCCUUAAUGA
RNAcentral lists this transfer RNA (71 nucleotides) under Calyptomena viridis (green broadbill). Its description in RNAcentral is "tRNA-Lys". The record is from RNAcentral. Lineage: Eukaryota; Metazoa; Chordata; Aves; Passeriformes; Eurylaimidae.